RNAcentral lists this ribosomal RNA (465 nucleotides) under uncultured bacterium. Its description in RNAcentral is "partial 16S ribosomal RNA". It matches the Rfam family "Bacterial small subunit ribosomal RNA", at positions 28 to 507 of the family's 1533-position model. The record is from RNAcentral.
GACGAACGCUGGCGGCGUGCUUAACACAUGCAAGUCGAACGGAAAGGCCCCUUUGGGGGUACUCGAGUGGCGAACGGGUGAGUAACACGUGAGUAACCUGCCCUUGACUUCGGGAUAACUUCAGGAAACUGGGGCGAAUACCGGCUAGGAAUCCUUGCUGCAUGGUGGGGGUUGGAAAGCUUCGGCGGUUUUGGAUGGACUCGCGGCUUAUCAGCUUGUUGGUGGGGGAGUGGCUUACCAAGGCUUUGACGGGUAGCCGGCCUGAGAGGGCGACCGGCCACAUUGGGACUUAGAUACGGCCCAGACUCCUACGGGAGGCAGCAGUGGGGAAUAUUUCACAAUGGGCGGAAGCCUGAUGCAGCAACGCCGCGUGCGGGAUUACGGCCUUCGGGUUGUAAACCGCUUUCAGCAGGGGCGAAGCUUGUGGUGACGGUACCUGCAGAAGAAGCACCGGCUAACUACGUG